UCUAAACUGAAAUCUUAUAGCGGCGAAACCUAAACGCAUUCAAAGGGAGGCAAAGGAGGGAGAUUUACACUUAAAUUGAUGAGGGUCCCGUGCCAGUGGAUGCCCAGCAUCUGGAAGAUCAUUUUUGUUCAGUUCCACAACCCAGGGCAGAUGAUUAAUGCACCGUAUCAGGCUGACAGUCUCCAUGAGGAGGUGGAGUGACUGAAAGGAGACUGCUUUGAUGCUGCUUUUGGUGUUAUACGGCUCUAAAGGUUCACAGCUUGCAUCCUACAUCCAGAGUAACGUGUCCAGAGUAAGGGCAACUGUAAGGGGGAUACCGUCUAUGGCAUGGCUGAGGGUCCACUUUGAGCAUCUCAUCCGCAGCAUGAAGCAACACAGGAUGGACAGUCAUCAUCUCUUUCUAUUACAGCGAGCACCAACCAGAUUUAUACAAAGGCUUGCCUUCUGCCCAUUAGUAAAAAUUAAAGAGUACACACACUGUACAUAAUUUAUAUGUUUUUUCCUGCACUGCAGGAAUAUAAAGUUGUCAAUAUAAUAAACAUUAAUUUUCAACAUAAUCAUGUAAACAUAUAUUACAGAACAAUUUGAGUGAACAAUUGCUCUGCACUAAUGUAAAUAUAAAUAACUGUAGAUACUUGCACUGCAGGUGUAAAUAAGCAGGGUAUUAUGUGCAUAGAGAAAUAUGCAAUGCUUACCUCCAUCAAACGUACUGCCUCUGUCUUUUGACAAAAAUCAGGCGGGCAACUACCGUCAGAACCCAAGUGAUGCUCAAGGACUGGUUGUAUUUAAUUACAUUUAAUGUUAGCCUUUUUAAAAAAGACAAGAAUAAUGCAAAAUACAUUAGUUUCAAGUCACAACAAUGUAAUGAAUGGGAUACCACCUCCAACUCAUUUUCAACAAGGAAAACCCUGAAAUAUGUAAAUAUAAGUAACAUUUGCACUGCAGUAAUGUAAAAACAUAACUUUAGACAUUUGCACUGCAGUAUAAAUAUAAAAAGUUUUACACAAUGUUAAACAUUUCCCUUACAGCGAUGUGUAAAAAUACAACAUUAAACAAUUUUUAAAUAAUUUGUGUGAGUGUUUGUUCAAAUCUGUAAUCAUUGUGACAGGUAAAAGUAAAAAAGGAAAGAAAUGGUCAGCUUCUUCUCAAACAUGUUGAUGUCUUUGUAGAUGAGCUGGAUCGUCAUGUCAUCCUGAGAAUAAAUAACCUCCCACUCAAA
Long non-coding RNA from Danio aesculapii, 1219 nucleotides. RefSeq lists it as uncharacterized. The transcript has 2 exons. The record is from RefSeq and is a predicted model, not a curated record. NCBI's taxonomy places the organism in Eukaryota, Metazoa, Chordata, Actinopteri, Cypriniformes, Danionidae.